This 1079-nucleotide long non-coding RNA is filed under the name Gossypium raimondii (Peruvian cotton). RNAcentral describes it as "long non-coding RNA (GRAI_LNC010874)". The record is from RNAcentral. Lineage: Eukaryota; Viridiplantae; Streptophyta; Magnoliopsida; Malvales; Malvaceae.
AGCAAUAUCGGCGUUUUUAUAAAAACGACACAAAAAAAAUUUACUUAAAAAAAAUAGUGCCCUUUUAGCAUAGCAAAAUAGUGUCGUUUUAUUUUAAAUGAAAUAAUUUUUUUGCAUAGCGGCGUUUUUAUUAAAAACGCCACAAAAAAUAAUUUCACUUUAAAAAAACAGGUGCCAUUUUAUAAAAUUCUCUCCCAACUUUCCCCCCAAAAUCCCUAAUUUCCCACGUCCAAGAAAAAAACCCAAAAGCUUAUUAACUCUGUGUUUUUUCCUUUCUCUCUUUCUCUUUCUUGUGUUCCUGUUCUUGCUUUUGGUAGUCUAAUUAUUGGUUUUCCUCUUUUUCUUUUGUAUUUUUUUUCAAACGCCAUUUUUCAAAUCUUUUCCUUUGAAUUUCUGAUCCAUUCAGAGUGCUGAAAAAUAUUCAGGUACUUCGAUAUUUUUCAAUUUCGCAUUUUAUUUCCUCCAAUCUUUAAAUUUAGUUCCAAUUUAUCGUCAUUUAUUUGCUGAAUUAACUUGUAAAAUAAUUGUUAGCACCUAGGGUUUUUUAUUUUUUAUGUAGGGUUGUUUUUAAUUUUAGUUGGAGAAUAUAUUGUGGUUUGAUUGUUUGUUAGGUUUUGAUAUUCAUAGGGUUUUUAAUUCGUAUUUCUAGCUUAAGUAAGGACCUCAUUUCUUCUGCCUCAAAUUAAUUAAAUUCAAUGGUUAGUAUUUGUAAUAUUUAAUGUAAUGUAAAAUUUUUGGCAUGUUAUUAAUUGUAAAAUAUUUUGUAUUUGGGGGUUUUUCAUUGUUACUGCAAUUAUAUAAUUGGUUUUGAUGCAGAACAUAUAUGUUUCAGCAAGUAAAUAUUUAGGGAUGGGGUUUACAAGGAGCUACGACAGGCAUGGAGGAUGCCAAAGAGCAAAUUGUACAGGAGUCCAAAAAUUCGACGCUACCAUCUCAAGAUGAGGUUGUGUUCUUAUCUUGGUUCAUUGUGGAAUAUUUGAUUGGUUAAAGAUCUUAGCUACAUACAGGAUUAAAAUUUUAUUCUCUGGAGCUCUAUAGUUGCUUUUGAUUUACUUAUUUCAUUUUAUGCUAAUACUUGU